RNAcentral lists this ribosomal RNA (466 nucleotides) under uncultured bacterium. RNAcentral describes it as "partial 16S ribosomal RNA". It matches the Rfam family "Bacterial small subunit ribosomal RNA", at positions 28 to 505 of the family's 1533-position model. The record is from RNAcentral.
GACGAACGCUGGCGGCGUGCUUAACACAUGCAAGUCGAACGGAAAGGCCCUGCUUUUGUGGGGUGCUCGAGUGGCGAACGGGUGAGUAACACGUGAGUAACCUGCCCUUGACUUUGGGAUAACUUCAGGAAACUGGGGCUAAUACCGGAUAGGAGCUCCUGCUGCAUGGUGGGGGUUGGAAAGUUUCGGCGGUUGGGGAUGGACUCGCGGCUUAUCAGCUUGUUGGUGGGGUAGUGGCUUACCAAGGCUUUGACGGGUAGCCGGCCUGAGAGGGUGACCGGCAACAUUGGGACUGGGAAACGGCCAAGCCUCCUACGGGAGGAAGCGGGGGGGAAUAGUGCACAAGGGGCGGAAGCCUGAUGCAGCAACGCCGCGGGCGGGAUGACGGCCUUCGGGUUGUAAACCGCUUUCGCCUGGGACGAAGCGUGAGUGACGGAAAUGGGUAAAGAAGCACCGGCUAACUACG